Molecule: long non-coding RNA, 307 nt
Organism: Mus musculus (house mouse)
Lineage: Eukaryota; Metazoa; Chordata; Mammalia; Rodentia; Muridae
Product: predicted gene, 53847
Exons: 2
Source: RefSeq, a predicted model, not a curated record
UUUGCACUUGGCCGCCGGGCUCAGUCCCCUUCGAAUGCCAGUCUCCGGGUCGACCUGCCUGGCGCAGAGCGUCUGCUAGCUCCGUGCCAAAGUGGACGGGAAUGAGAGAGGUCAUGGGACCUCCCCACCAGGGCGGUGCCAAAAACUUAUCAAAUGGACUCUGUCUGUCCCUGGGCCCACGUGGAGUGCAGACUGUAGGUGUAAUAAGGACAAUUAUUAAACUAUAUUGGUCACAAAACAAUUUGAUGGAGCGCGGCAAACUACCAAAGUCAAAAUAAUAUAUAAUAAAUCUUUCCCCAAAGGAACA